ACUGAAGCCAAUCAAUUGUGUAAAAAUCUUGGGUGUGGUGAGUCCAUAUCCAACAAACCCAAACUGGAUUCUACAGUACUGACUCGUUUCAAAGACUCAGACAAGAUGAAGGUCGAGUGUAAUGGCAUUAAACAAGUAAAUCAUCUGUGGCAGUGUGUCACCGGGUUAUCAGAACAAUGCCGAAGUCCUGCUUCUGUCACAUGCAAAGAGUAUAAGAGACUGCAACUCCAAGGAGACAAUUCCAACGUGUGUUCUGGGCAGCUGCAAGAAGAGGAGGGUCUCGAAUGGAAAAAUGUUACAAAAAACAAAAUCAGUUCUGAUAUGUGCCAGAAUAUGCACUGUGGUAAACAGGUCUAUUCAUCUGACAAUGGCAUACUGAACUGCUCAGACAAUGUCACAGUGGUUCUGAUGGACAACAAUGAACCCAGCAAGUGCUAUGGUAAAGUGUAUGUCAAAGUGAAUAAUAAAAGUCAUCCCGUGUGUGCCUCCUCUUGGGAACUAAAGGACGCUCAAGUGGUUUGUAGCGCUCUUAAGUGCGGGAAAGUAAGUUUUCAGUAUCAUAUUUCAGUUGAACAAAUGAAAGAAGUCGAUAUAACUUUGACAAUUACAGGAAAAUGCCAAAAUGUAUCAGUGGCACAAGUAAACAAAGAGUCAUAAAAUCAACAAACUGACCCCAUCAAGUUAGUUACACGAAAAUGUCCUAAGUUUGCUAAUAUUGCCAAACAUUAGCCACAUUAACCCUUUGAAACCAGAGUAACUUGGCUGGCUUGAUUUCUUUAAAAACAUGGGGAGAAAGAAGAAGACAA
Molecule: non-coding RNA, 806 nt
Organism: Plectropomus leopardus (leopard coralgrouper)
Lineage: Eukaryota; Metazoa; Chordata; Actinopteri; Perciformes; Serranidae
Source: RefSeq, a predicted model, not a curated record